RNAcentral lists this transfer-messenger RNA (385 nucleotides) under Actinomycetota bacterium. RNAcentral's name for it is "Actinobacteria bacterium transfer-messenger RNA". It matches the Rfam family "transfer-messenger RNA". Rfam says of the family: Bacterial tmRNA, also known as 10Sa RNA or SsrA, is named for its dual tRNA and mRNA-like properties. Lineage: Bacteria; Bacillati; Actinomycetota. The record is from RNAcentral.
GGGGGUGACUGGCUUCGACUUCGGUAGUUGAUCCAGGGGAAGCGGGUCGGGGACGGCGGACAUAACCCCGUUAACACUGUGACCGCACACCAAUAAGUGCCAACUCAAACAGCACUCAGGCUCAGCUGGCCCUCGCGGCUUAAUAACCCGCAGAGUCAGUAGCCUUGUCAGCCCGGGAGCGCCUCCGGCCCGGUGCCUGGCAUCAGCGAGGAGGAUUACCUGUUAGCCCGGUCGCGGGACUAACCGGGACAACAAACAGCGACUGAGCCCGUCGGCAAGCUUGCCUGCAAGACUGCCGGGGCCGAGAAAAGCGCAGCAGGCUGCACCCGGAGAAGCCCUGGUGAGGUGCUGAAGGACGCGGGUUCGAUUCCCGCCACCUCCACUC